UGAACUCUCCGUUGACUCUGGAACUAGUGACACAGAUGAUGACAAACAUAAAUCGACGGUGGGCAAUAAAUCAAACACAAACCAGAAUCAGUUACGAUUGUCUGGAUGCAGCACCAAAGUCAGGUCCAUCGCGAGAAACUCUUACUCUAAAAGAGAAAUUGAAACGGAAAAUGCAAGCUCAAUUAUCAAAGCAAUUGCGUGCUGACAAGCGCGCUGAGGCUGAGCG
This is a long non-coding RNA of Papilio xuthus (Asian swallowtail), 226 nucleotides long. RefSeq lists it as uncharacterized. NCBI's taxonomy places the organism in Eukaryota, Metazoa, Arthropoda, Insecta, Lepidoptera, Papilionidae. The transcript has 4 exons. The record is from RefSeq and is a predicted model, not a curated record.